UACGUAGGGGGCUAGCGUUGCCCGGAAUCAUUGGGCGUAAAGAGCGUGUAGGCGGUCCGGUAAGUCCGCUGUGAAAGUCGGGGGCUCAACCCUCGAAUGCCGGUGGAUACUGUCGGGCUAGAGUGCGGAAGAGGCGAGUGGAAUUCCUGGUGUAGCGGUGAAAUGCGCAGAUAUCAGGAGGAACACCUAUUGCGAAGGCAGCUCGCUGGGACGUUACUGACGCUGAGGCGCGAAAGCGUGGGGAGCGAACGGG
This 253-nucleotide ribosomal RNA is filed under the name uncultured bacterium. Its description in RNAcentral is "partial 16S ribosomal RNA". It matches the Rfam family "Bacterial small subunit ribosomal RNA", at positions 524 to 776 of the family's 1533-position model. The record is from RNAcentral.